CCUGACUGCUAUCGGAUUGAUACUAAGCCAUGUGAGUCAUUGUAGCAAUACAAGGCAGACGGCUCAGUAACACGUAGUCAAUCUACCCUAUGGACGGGGAUAACCUCGGGAAACUGAGGAUAACACCCGAUAGAUCAUAAUUCCUGGAAUGGUUUAUGGUCCAAACGAUUCGUCGCCGUAGGAUGGGACUGCGGCCUAUCAGCUUGUUGGUGAGGUAAUGGCCCACCAAGGCUAUUACAGGUACGGGCUCUGAGAGGAGAAGCCCGGAGAUGGGUACUGAGACACGGACCCAGGCCCUAUGGGGCGCAGCAGGCGAGAAACCUUUGCAAUGUGCGCAAGCACGACAAGGUUAAUCCGAGUGUUUCCUGCUAAAGGAAUCUUUUGUUAGUUGUAAAACCACUAUCGAAUAAGGGGUGGGCAAGUUCUGGUGUCAGCCGCCGCGGUAAAACCAGCACCUCAAGUGGUCAGGAGGAUUAUUGGGCCUAAAGCAUCCGUAGCCUGUUCUAUAAGUUUCCGGUUAAAUCCACUAGCUCAACUAGUGGGCUGCCGAAAAUACUGUAGAACUAGGGAGUGGGAGAGGUAGACGGUAUUCGGUAGGAAGGGGUAAAAUCCUUUGAUCUAUUGAGGACCACCUGUGGCGAAGGCGGUCUACCAGAACACGUUCGACGGUGAGGGAUGAAAGCUGGGGGAGCAAACCGGAUUAGAUACCCGGGUAGUCCCAGCUGUAAACGAUGCAGACUCGGUGAUGCCCUGGCUUGUGGCCAGUGCAGUGCCGCAGGGAAGCCGUUAAGUUUGCCGCCUGGGAAGUACGUACGCAAGUAUGAAACUUAAAGGAAUUGGCGGGGAGCACCACAAGGGUGAAGCCUGCGGUUC
Molecule: ribosomal RNA, 873 nt
Filed under: uncultured archaeon
Lineage: Archaea
Description: bacterial SSU rRNA
Rfam family: Archaeal small subunit ribosomal RNA
Source: RNAcentral